Molecule: ribosomal RNA, 253 nt
Filed under: uncultured bacterium
Lineage: Bacteria
Description: partial 16S ribosomal RNA
Rfam family: Bacterial small subunit ribosomal RNA
Source: RNAcentral
UACAGAGGGUGCGAGCGUUAAUCGGAAUUACUGGGCGUAAAGGGUGCGUAGGUGGCUCAUUGAGUUGGAUGUGAAAUACCCGGGCUUAACCUGGGGAAGCCAUUCAAGACGGCUUAGAUUGAGUAGUGUAGAGGGAGGUAGAAUUUCCGGUGUAGCGGUGAAAUGCGUAGAUAUUGGAAGGAAUACCGGUGGCGAAGGCGACUGCCUGGACACUAACUGACACUGAGGCACGAAAGCGUGGGGAGCGAACAGG